This 187-nucleotide ribosomal RNA is filed under the name uncultured Staphylococcus sp. RNAcentral describes it as "partial 16S ribosomal RNA". It matches the Rfam family "Bacterial small subunit ribosomal RNA", at positions 153 to 334 of the family's 1533-position model. The record is from RNAcentral. Lineage: Bacteria; Bacillati; Bacillota; Bacilli; Caryophanales; Staphylococcaceae.
GAAACCGGAGCUAAUACCGGAUAAUAUAUUGAACCGCAUGGUUCAAAAGUGAAAGACGGUCUUGCUGUCACUUAUAGAUGGAUCCGCGCUGCAUUAGCUAGUUGGUAAGGUAACGGCUUACCAAGGCAACGAUGCAUAGCCGACCUGAGAGGGUGAUCGGCCACACUGGAACUGAGACACGGUCCAG